Molecule: small RNA, 125 nt
Filed under: Marmota monax (woodchuck)
Lineage: Eukaryota; Metazoa; Chordata; Mammalia; Rodentia; Sciuridae
Source: RNAcentral
GCUGGGCACAGUGGUGCAAGCCUGUAAUCCCAGUAGCUCAGGAGGCUGAGGCAGGAGGAUUGCGAAUUCAAAGCCAGCCUCAGCAAAAGUGAGGUACUAAGCAACUCAGUGGGAUCCUGUCUCUA